GAUAGCACACGUACGUCGCGGAGAUGUCUGCGCGAUGUCUUCUUUUUCGUCUGGAAGACGUAUUAUAUAGGGCGUUUGCUCAUCUGGAAGGCGUCGCCGAGACGUCCGACCCAGCUGUUUGCAAGACACCCAGCAGAUCUUUACAAGAUGUAUGUUAUUUAGAACGAUGGCGAGCCGCCGUUUCCCAGAUCUUUACAAGAUGUUAGAACGGCAAGCCGCUCUUUCAUAGAUCUUUAGAAGAGCUUUAAAAGAUGCGGAGCCGCUCUUUUCCAGAUAUUUAGAAGAGCUUUAAAAGAUGCCGAGCCGCUCUUUCCCAGAUCUUUAGAAGAGCUUAGAAAGACGGUAAGCCGCUCUUUCCCAGAUGUUUGUAAGAUUACAAGAUCCCUCAUUAACAAAUUGAAUUGCCCUAAACUACAGCAAAUUAUUUCUACACACAUCUACACAUACAUGCUGUGUCAUCGAUAUUAAGUAAUUAAAACACCAUUUUCAAUUGAUCUUAAAGCAGUUAUUGAUUUUAUAAAACACAUUUAUUCAAAUUAAACAAUGAAAACUUUCAUUCAUUUAUCUUUAAAGAUAUUUUUUACAUGACAGUAUCCGAAAACAACAACAUAUAAACAUAACAUAUUUAAAAUAAUCAAAACCUUUCCGCGUCUGCUUUAUUAAUCUCCAUUCUAAAAUAAAACAUUUCAAAAAAUUACCAGGAAAUAAUCGUGAAAGGCUGUUCUUUCUAUAUAGCUUUAAUUAGGAUCUAGAAGAUAAAAUUACCCGAAAGUGUUGUCAUUGUUAAAUAAAUUACGGAUGUGCGUCUUUACGUCAAGGUCGUGAUUCUUCAUAACAACAUCCGCUUGACCUCGCAAUGCCAUGAAGAAGAAAGGCGUGGAACAUUUGCUUAAGAUCUUCAGCAGAUGUUUGAGAAAAAAAAUCAUCAUCCUCUUCGUCACUCUUCAUCCGUAUUUGGGGUAACAAACACCUGCUUCCCACAAGAGACUGGACCUCUGAAGUCAGAUAAUUUUACUGGUACAAUGUUGGAUGGAUCAUCAGACCUGCACCUUCCUUGAACAUGUUGGUAACUUACUCUGUAUUUGUUCACGGUGGUCACCCCAGGGUUUCAGGACUCAAAACGAGUGCUCUAUGGAUUGAACAGAAAAUGUGGAUCAACACUCCAACCAUCUGCAUUAGGGACUGAAUAAAGGAUGCCCUCUGUAGCUGGGAAUGUUAGAUCAGGCGGAUCAACAUUCCAUCAAUCUGCAUUAGGGUCUACCUUAGAGACACUCACUGGAGCUGUAAAUGGAAGCAGGUCACUUACUUUGCAUUCGUCCUUGGUGGUCACCCCAGGGUCUCUAGAGUGAAAAUUACUCAAUCUAUGGAUUAAACAGAAAAUUUAGUUUUAUGAAGUGCAAUUUGGGACAUUCUUCCAGUUGUCGGCAACUUUGUGAAAAAGGCUGGAAACUAAAAUGCAGAAUUCUGGCCUGGUGUUUGGUCUGUGCUGUCUUUGACUCUUGCAUCUCCAUCAUCCUGACCCUCUUUAGCAGCCUGUCCAUGUAUUUAUUCGGAGGCCACCAUGAGCACCCAUCUGCAUAAUAUGACUUUGUUA
Non-coding RNA from Paramisgurnus dabryanus, 1594 nucleotides. Lineage: Eukaryota; Metazoa; Chordata; Actinopteri; Cypriniformes; Cobitidae. The record is from RefSeq and is a predicted model, not a curated record.